CUACGGGUCGCAGCAGUGAGGAAUAUUGCACAAUGGGGGGAACCCUGAUGCAGCAACGCCGCGUGGAGGAUGACGCAUUUCGGUGUGUAAACUCCUUUUAUAUGUCAAGAAAAUGACGGUAGCAUAUGAAUAAGCACCGGCUAACUCCGUGCCAGCAGCCGCGGUAAUACGGAGGGUGCAAGCGUUACUCGGAAUCACUGGGCGUAAAGGACGCGUAGGCGGGUUGGAAAGUCAGGUGUGAAAUCCUACAGCUUAACGGUAGAACUGCACUUGAAACUAGUAAGCUAGAGUAUGGGAGGGGGAGAUGGAAUUAGUGGUGUAGGGGUAAAAUCCGUAGAUAUCACUAGGAAUACCUAAAGCGAAGGCGAUCUCCUGGAACAUUACUGACGCUAAGGCGUGAAAGCGUGGGGAGCAAACAGGAUUAGAUACCCGAGUAGUC
RNAcentral lists this ribosomal RNA (439 nucleotides) under uncultured bacterium. Its description in RNAcentral is "partial 16S ribosomal RNA". It matches the Rfam family "Bacterial small subunit ribosomal RNA", at positions 339 to 795 of the family's 1533-position model. The record is from RNAcentral.